CACAAGCGGUGGAGCAUGUGGUUUAAUUCGACGAUAAGCGUGGAACCUUACCAAGGCUUGAAAUGAUAGGAGUACUCUGGUCGAAAUACCGGAGGACCGUAAAAUCGGAACCUAUCACAGGUGCUGCAUGGUUGUCGUCAGUUCGUGCUGUGAAGUGUACCGUUAAUUCGGACAACGAACGCAACCCUUACUCUAAUUUACAAUUCAUUAGAGGACCGCCUCGGUUAACGAGGAGGAAGGUGGGGAUGACGUCAAAUCAGCAUGGCUCUUACGCCUUGGGCGACACACGUGCUACAAUGGCCAGUACAAUGGGUUGCCAAACCGUAAGGUGGAGCCAAUCCCAUCAAAACUGGUCUCAGUUCGGAUUGAGGUCUGCAAUUCGACCUCAUGAAGUUGGAAUCGCUAGUAACCACGAAUCAGCCACGUCGUGGUGAAUACGUUCUCGGGUCUUGUACUCACCGCCCGUCACACCAAGAGAGUCGGGAGUACCCGAACCCCGCACAUAAGUCACAAACAAAUUUGCGGCUUGUGUGCGGGGGAAGGUAAGUCCGGCAAUAAGGGUGAAGUCGUAACAAGGCAUCCGUAGCGGAAGCUGUGGAUGGAUCACCUCCUUU
Molecule: ribosomal RNA, 614 nt
Filed under: Patescibacteria group bacterium
Lineage: Bacteria
Description: bacterial SSU rRNA
Rfam family: Bacterial small subunit ribosomal RNA
Source: RNAcentral